Molecule: ribosomal RNA, 354 nt
Filed under: uncultured Ruminococcus sp.
Lineage: Bacteria; Bacillati; Bacillota; Clostridia; Eubacteriales; Oscillospiraceae
Description: bacterial SSU rRNA
Rfam family: Bacterial small subunit ribosomal RNA
Source: RNAcentral
GGCUCAGGACGAACGCUGGCGGCGUGCUUAACACAUGCAAGUCGAACGGGAAACCUUUUAUUGAAGCUUCGGCAGAUUUAGAUUGUUUCUAGUGGCGGACGGGUGAGUAACGCGUGGGUAACCUGCCUUGUACAGGGGGAUAACAGUCAGAAAUGACUGCUAAUACCGCAUAAGCGCACAGAGCUGCAUGGCUCCGUGUGAAAAACUCCGGUGGUAUAAGAUGGACCCGCGUUGGAUUAGCUAGUUGGUGGGGUAACGGCCCACCAAGGCGACGAUCCAUAGCCGGCCUGAGAGGGUGAACGGCCACAUUGGGACUGAGACACGGCCCAGACUCCUACGGGAGGCAGCAGUAGG